This 449-nucleotide ribosomal RNA is filed under the name uncultured bacterium. RNAcentral's name for it is "bacterial SSU rRNA". It matches the Rfam family "Bacterial small subunit ribosomal RNA", at positions 29 to 524 of the family's 1533-position model. The record is from RNAcentral.
AACGAACGCUGGCGGCAUGCCUAACACAUGCAAGUCGAACGAUGCCUUCGGGCAUAGUGGCGCACGGGUGCGUAACGCGUGGGAAUCUGCCCUUGGGUUCGGAAUAACUCAGAGAAAUUUGAGCUAAUACCGGAUGAUGACGUAAGUCCAAAGAUUUAUCGCCAAGGAUGAGCCCGCGUAAGAUUAGCUAGUUGGUGGGGUAAAGGCCUACCAAGGCGACGAUCUUCAGCUGGUCUGAGAGGAUGAUCAGCCACACUGGGACUGAGACACGGCCCAGACUCCUACGGGAGGCAGCAGUGGGGAAUAUUGGACAAUGGGCGAAAGCCUGAUCCAGCAAUGCCGCGUGAAUGAUGAAGGCCUUAGGGUUGUAAAGCUCUUUUACCAGGGAUGAUAAUGACAGUACCUGGAGAAUAAGCUCCGGCUAACUCCGUGCCAGCAGCCGCGGUAAU